AAUAAGUAAUUAAAAAAUAAGUAAAUUAUUAUGAUAGUAGAAGUUAAAAAAUUGUGUUAAAAUUAAUUAAUAGUAGAAAUUAAAGAAAUAGUGUUAAAAUUAAGUAAAAAUCAAUUGAAGGGGAAAGUUAAUGUUUAUAUAAAAUCAGUGAAAGAAUUAAAAAAUAAAAAUAAAAAGUUAGAGAAAAAUGUGAAGUUAGUGUAAAAAAUAAUAAUAAUAUUAAAAAUAAAUAACAAUACAAAAUUCAGUGUUUAUCAUUUUCUAAGCAAAUUAAAAUAAUUAAUAAUCAGUAAAAUUAAAUAUUACGUGAAAUAUUGCUUAUUUAUUUGUAGCUGCCCAGUUUGUAUAAAACUCAACGCCUUCGUAAGGUUCGUUUCAAGAUCAUGUUCAUGGCCUUUCCAAUGAAAAAUUCGCGCGUCUAAAAGUCUUACGAAAAAUUUUUCACCAUUGAAAAAGGAUAUGAAAAUGGAAAUGGCAAAGCAUGCAAAUUGGCAAGUCAUGAAAUAUAACAUUCACUGCCUCAACCCUUCAACCCCGAUUAGUGUGAGUGAAGCACAAUCCACUUAUGUCCAAUAUAAUUUUCGUUCGUAGCGUUGGUGUGGGUUGAAAGUCCUUACAAUCUGCGCUGUUUGUCUACAAUAUUUCGCUCACACUACGCCAGAUGUCACGCAAUGUAACACCACCUCCUACCACUACUAGUAUAGCUGGGGCUAUUCUAAAUGUCGCUGGCUCUCCUUCGUCUAUGCGCUUUGACACAAUAUUCGCAGUCAUUAGACGCAACUGCUGUAGACAAGUAAGUGCAAAUGAAGAAAACGUAAAAUCUAAAACUAGCAUGCGAUAAAAAUGUACAACUGCCACUACACGCGCAAGAAUUUUCGUUGAAACAUUUGUUUUGCUUUUUUUUUCAGUACGCUAUAAAUGCAAUGAAGUAAAAUUUUACUACUUAAAAUUCCAGUCACAUAAAAUCCUUUAGUUCUUAUCAGCUAAUCGAACAAUUGAAGCAUUUUAUUUUACUACCUUUCUCAUGCAGCACACACACACACAGACACAAAGAGGUUUAUUUCAACCCAUCUAUGUUAUAGUGUUUGCCAUUUAAGUGAACACAACCAUCUCUCCACCAACAAACAUUCCGGUCACUGCAUGCGCUUCACCGCCCAGCUAACUAUAUACGAGCGUUUUACAACAACAACACUUUUACACACUUUAGGUGCUGACCAUUAACUCCACCUGGACAUUUUUACAAACACGCGCAAACACUUUGUUGUAUGUAGGUGU
Long non-coding RNA from Zeugodacus cucurbitae (melon fly), 1275 nucleotides. RefSeq lists it as uncharacterized. NCBI's taxonomy places the organism in Eukaryota, Metazoa, Arthropoda, Insecta, Diptera, Tephritidae. The record is from RefSeq and is a predicted model, not a curated record. The transcript has 4 exons.